GACGAACGCUGGCGGCGUGCUUAACACAUGCAAGUCGAACGGAUAUUCCCUGCUUGUGGGUGGUUCUCCAGUGGCGAACUGGUUAGUAACACGGGAGUAACCUGCCCGUUACUUUGGGAUAACUUCAGGAAACUGGGGCGAAUACCGGAUAUGAUCUCCUGCUGCAUGGUGGGCGUUGGAAAGUUUCGGCGGUUGGGGAUGUACUCGCGGCGUAUCAUGUUGUUGGUGGGGUAUUGGCUUACCAAGGCGUUGACGGGUAGCCGGCCUGCGAGGGUGACCGGCCACAAUGGGAACGAGAUACGGCAGAGAGUCAUACGGGAGGAAGGAGUGGGGAAUAAUGCAGCAUGGGCGGAAGCGUGAUGAAGCAAUGCGGCGUGCGGGAUGCCGGCGUUCGGGUUGUACACGGAUUUCGCUUGAGACGAAGCGUGAGUGCCGGUACUGGGUAAAGAAGCACCGGUAACUUAGGU
This 467-nucleotide ribosomal RNA is filed under the name uncultured bacterium. RNAcentral describes it as "partial 16S ribosomal RNA". It matches the Rfam family "Bacterial small subunit ribosomal RNA", at positions 28 to 506 of the family's 1533-position model. The record is from RNAcentral.